Molecule: long non-coding RNA, 873 nt
Organism: Papilio polytes (common Mormon)
Lineage: Eukaryota; Metazoa; Arthropoda; Insecta; Lepidoptera; Papilionidae
Exons: 4
Source: RefSeq, a predicted model, not a curated record
GAACAUUGUGUUUUGAAUGUGUUGAAUGAAAAGUUAAAGAGAUCUAAAUUACGUCAUUAGAUAAGGUCAUUACCGGAGGAACGAGCUACGCAAGGAACUUGGGCACUUUAGAAACAAUAGAAACAUGCCUGUACAUCUGCACUCCGCUUUUAAGAGAGCUCAAAGAAAACAAGGGAAAUUGGACGUCGCUUGUUUUCAGUAGAGACACUGACAUUUUACACUCGUUAAGUUAGUUUUCUUGCUCCGUGUAUACGAUGGACUCUCACAAAGCGCCCAUGUGAAUGACGAGCGAAGCGCGAUGCGACCGCGAAACAACCCCAAUAACAUUCGCCCUGAAGAAAAACCCUUGCAGGGUCUGAAAGUGGUCGGCUGUCACCGAAAAAAAAGACGUACACUGGACCUCUACAACUCAUCACGGCAACGAGCAACUUCUACCAUAAUCAGUAACCAGUUCGACAGAGAAAGCUAUAGUUAUACACCAAGGAGUAAACGAGACAGUAACAUCAAUAUUCAUUCAAGCAGAAGUAGACGAAGAUAGACUUAACGAGCCGUUGAUAGGUGCGAAAGGGAGGUGCGACGGUCUGGGUGGCCACCCCCCACAGUUGGUGGAUGGCCAUAAAAAUGAGUAUAAAAUUGAAACAUCAAUAUAAUAAGCAAUCAACGUGGCCCAAGCCGGACCUAAUUAUACAGGGCGAGCUUACGUUAUAAAUUACCUUAUACCAAACAUACAGAUUGAUCCAAAAUCGAAUUGCCUUGUUGUCGAUUUCCUGAUAACAACUGCAUAUUUUGUAUUCCCAUCACGAUACGUAAUGAGUUCACAAUUAGCGCCACAAGAAGAUAUCAAAUGCAAUCUGUUGCUAUUCUUAUAUUUGA